This 64-nucleotide non-coding RNA is filed under the name unclassified sequences. RNAcentral's name for it is "Xanthine-I sequence". It matches the Rfam family "Xanthine riboswitch aptamer (NMT1 RNA)". Rfam says of the family: Later it was reported as a ncRNA that recognised Xanthine. The record is from Rfam by way of RNAcentral.
CCCUUGAGUAGAAGCGUUCAGCACACAGGCCCCGCGCCUGUGUUGCCCGGAAAUUGCUCAGUUU